CCGCGCUCGGCCAUUAUAUCUAGAUUUUGAAACCUCAUGUUUGUUUACCAGUAGUAACAGGUGUACAGACUAUCAGGUGUCAUUAUGACAGAUAGCACACUUGUUGCUUCUGCUGUCAAGCAUGUAUACAUUUCUUUCUUUAUAAAGACAGGUUCCUGAGUAUGUAAUGAAAUGGGCCUGUGAAAUCUGCAAACGACAAGGAUAAACUACUAGACUUUUUUUUUUUAACUUGAUUUAUUGAUGAAGACUAGUAAAAGCUUAUGGGGGGGUGUUAAGUCUGUUCAUUAUCUGUUCUAUUAAUACUUAGGAUACUUUAUUUUGAUAUAUUUGAAUGCAUAGAAUAGAUACCAUUUAAUGAAUAAGACGCAGUUUAAUUGAACAAGGUUGGAAACCUAAUGUUUCUGUAUUUCUCUUUUAAAGUUAUUCCUUAUUGAUUUUGGUUUGGCCAAAAAGUACAGAGACAACAGGACAAGGCAACACAUACCAUACAGAGAAGAUAAAAACCUCACUGGCACUGCCCGAUAUGCUAGCAUCAAUGCACAUCUUGGUAUUGAGCAGAGGUAAGUUCGAAAAUGGAAUGUGCUUAUCAUAGCCAUAGCAGAAGCCAUCAAUGGGUUUUUGAAAUAUUUUAGUUUCUUACAAUGUCUAAGGAUGUUUCUUGGCUGAGGAUUUGAAGGAUGCUUAUUAAUCAUUUUACCUGCUGCUUUAACCAGUGUAGAGAAGACCGUUAAAUGAGGUCUUCUGGAUUUUUUGUUGUUGUUGAAGGUUGUCUCUUGGGGGGAAAAUACUGCGUGAUAGAAAGUUAGAAGCAUAAGUGCAAUGUUGACGUUUCUUUUUGCAGCUGAAGAUAGUACAUAUAUUUUUAGAGCUAUUUGGGGCUUUUUAUACUUUAGUAAUUCACGCUGAGUUUGGGAAGAAUGCAUUAUUUAUUUUUAAAAGGAAAAUGUUAUCAGUGUCCUAAUAAACCAAAAGUGGGUUGAUGGACCAUCUCCUGUUAUACUUCACUCAAAUAUAUAAAUUAAUAGGAUCUAGUUUAAAGUAAAAAAAGUAACAGUCUCUGCUCUCUUCCUAUUUCUUCACAUGAGUUCUAGAGUUUCGAGUUCCUUUCAUCUUUUACAGUCACUUUUUGCUCCUUAAAACUAGCAUAGAAGUAAUAAGUAGAAAAAACAAUGAUAUGCCUCCAGGUUAAAGAACCUCAUACCAAGAAUUUCAGGCUUAAGAAAUAUCCAUGAAUAUCUGAAUGAUCUAGGUUAAACUGUAAUGUCACUUUUUCUGUACGCCAAGGCAUUACCUAUCCUUAAAUAUAUAUAUAUCUAAAUAUAUAUUUGUAUGUAUGUGUAUAUAGAUAUGUAUGCAUGAAUACAUUCAUAUAGAUGUUCAAUUAGUUUUAAGUUGUAACUCCUUUUCAGUACUUCUGAAGUUUUUUUUUAAUGAGUUUCUGCAAAACAUAGAAAUGUCAUCCUGCUUGGUUCAUUAAGCUCAUUUAGAGGGUUGUUUAGCCAAAUCGUUUCUGUUCUUUUAAAAUUAAAUUGUAAGACAGUUGUUUGUCAGAUUUUGGAUUCCAUGGAAAAAGUUUUGUUUAGAGGUAGGUAACACAUGAACUUUUUAAAAUCACCUUAAAUAAGUAGCUUCUUGCGUAAGACACCAAAUAGUGUUCCCUCCUCAUUUGGGAACAUUUCUUCUGGGUACUUGACUUUCUUUCAUAUGUUUUUUCAUAAUAAUAGUUCCAGUUUAUAAAAUUACGUUCUCUUUUCUAGUCGCCGAGAUGACAUGGAAUCAUUAGGAUAUGUUUUGAUGUAUUUUAAUAGAACCAGCCUGCCAUGGCAAGGGCUAAAGGCUGCAACAAAGAAACAAAAAUAUGAAAAGAUUAGUGAAAAGAAGAUGUCCACGCCUGUUGAAGUUUUAUGUAAGGGGUUUCCUGCAGAAUUUGCGAUGUACUUAAACUAUUGUCGUGGGCUACGCUUUGAGGAAGCCCCAGAUUACAUGUAUCUGAGGCAGCUAUUCCGCAUUCUUUUCAGGACCCUGAACCAUCAAUAUGACUACACAUUUGAUUGGACAAUGUUAAAGCAGAAAGCAGCACAGCAGGCAGCCUCUUCCAGUGGGCAGGGUCAGCAGGCCCAAACCCCCACAGGCAAGCAAACUGACAAAACCAAGAGUAACAUGAAAGGUUAGUAGCCAAGAACCAAGUGACGUUACAGGGAAAAAAUUGAAUACAAAAUUGGGUAAUUCAUUUCUAACAGUGUUAGAUCAAGGAGGUGGUUUUAAAAUACAU
This 2272-nucleotide long non-coding RNA is filed under the name Homo sapiens (human). RNAcentral's name for it is "long non-coding RNA NONHSAT204851.1". Lineage: Eukaryota; Metazoa; Chordata; Mammalia; Primates; Hominidae. The record is from RNAcentral.